RNAcentral lists this ribosomal RNA (511 nucleotides) under uncultured bacterium. Its description in RNAcentral is "bacterial SSU rRNA". It matches the Rfam family "Bacterial small subunit ribosomal RNA", at positions 28 to 496 of the family's 1533-position model. The record is from RNAcentral.
GACGAACGCUGGCGGCGUGCCUAAUACAUGCAAGUCGAACGCACUCUCGUUUAGAUUGAAGGAGCUUGCUCCUGAUUGAUAAACAUUUGAGUGAGUGGCGGACGGGUGAGUAACACGUGGGUAACCUGCCCUAAAGUGGGGGGUAACAUUUGGAAACAGAUGCUAAUACCGCAUAAAACCUAACAACCGCAUGGUGUAGGGUUGAAAGAUGGUUUCGGCUAUCACUUUAGGAUGGACCCCGCGGUGCAUUAGUUAGUUGGUGAGGUAAAGGCUCACCAAGACCGUGAUGCAUAGCCGACCUGAGAGGGUAAUCGGCCACACUGGGACUGAGACACGGCCCAGACUCCUACGGGAGGCAGCAGUAGGGAAUCUUCCACAAUGGACGAAAGUCUGAUGGAGCAACGCCGCGUGAGUGAAGAAGGUUUUCGGAUCGUAAACUCUGUUGUUGGAGAAGAAUGUAUCUGAUAGUAACUGAUCAGGUAGUGACGGUAUACCAACCAGAAAGCCACGG